GACGAACGCUGGCGGCGUGCUUAACACAUGCAAGUCGAACGGAAAGGCCCUGCUUUUGUGGGGUGCUCGAGUGGCGAACGGGUGAGUAACACGUGAGUAACCUGCCCUUGACUUUGGGAUAACUUCAGGAAACUGGGGCUAAUACCGGAUAGGAGCUCCUGCUGCAUGGUGGGGGUUGGAAAGUUUCGGCGGUUGGGGAUGGACUCGCGGCUUAUCAGCUUGUUGGUGGGGUAGUGGCUUACCAAGGCUUUGACGGGUAGCCGGCCUGAGAGGGUGACCGGCCACAUUGGGACUGAGAUACGGCCCAGACUCCUACGGGAAGCAGCAGUGGGGAAUAUGGCACAAUGGGCGGAAGCCUGAUGCAGCAACGCCGCGUGCGGGAUGACGGCCUUCGGGUUGUAAACCGCUUUCGCCUGUGACGAAGCGUGAGUGACGGUAAUGGGUAAAGAAGCACCGGCUAACUACGUG
Molecule: ribosomal RNA, 468 nt
Filed under: uncultured bacterium
Lineage: Bacteria
Description: partial 16S ribosomal RNA
Rfam family: Bacterial small subunit ribosomal RNA
Source: RNAcentral